AAAGUUAUAACUCUAGGCUAAAACCACAUUCUAAAAAUUAAAGAACUUAAUAAAAGAAAAAAUUUACAGGUAUCAAAUGAAAAUAAUUUUAACAGUGAUCAAGCUCAACAGAAACAGUACCUAAAGGAAAGGGUGAAAUAAUAUUAAUAGUACAACUAAAUAAAGGAAAGCCUAAUACUUUUACCUUGUGUAUAAUGGAUUAACGACACCAAAGAAAAAAGAUUCUAUGCUCGAAACUUGGCGAGCUAACCCUAGUCUUCUUUUAGAGAAUAAACCUACUGUUGCAAUAGUAGGCUAAAAGAUUAGGUUAGAUGUGACAUACUAACCGCGCCCAGAGAUAGCUAGCUUCUAAGAAACUGGUCUAAGCUAGGCUUUUGCUUCUAAAAUUUUAUACGUAUAUUAAACUAUAAAAUUAGUUUCUGUAUUUAGAUAGUAAAAAGUGAGGCCGUGUGGAUAAGCACGCGGCCCAAGAUGGAAAACCCCAAUCAUUUUAGAUAAAGACAAAAAACAUAAUAAAUAGUUUAAUUAAAACUAAGUAGGCCUAAAAGCAGCCACCUAAGAAAAAAGCGUUAAAGCUUCAUUAAGUAAAAAACUAAAAAAUUUAUGAAAAAUUUUCUAACUCUAAACUCAGCUUAUUAGGAAUUUUUAUUUUUAAAAGAUAUAAUGUUAAUAUGAGUAAGUAACUUCUCACCUGAUUUUUAAACAAAAUUAACCUUGAAUAACAAAAUAUUUAUUCUAAAAAAAUUAUCUUUUUAUUUUGUCUUCCAACACAGGAGAGAAAAAAUGAAGUAAAAAAAUAAGAAGAACUCGGCAAAUAUUAGUUUCGCCUGUUUACCAAAAACAUCGCCCCCCGAUCACUUUAUUUAUAUGGGGGGUCCUGCCUGCCCAGUGACUAUUAGUUAAACGGCCGCGGUAUCUUGACCGUGCGAAGGUAGCAUAAUCACUUGUCUCCUAAAUAGAGACUAGUAUGAAUGGCAAGACGGAGCUUAACUGUCUCCUUUUUUUUCUCAUAAAUUCACUUUCCCGUGAAGAGGCGGGAAUUUGCUCGCUAGACGAGAAGACCCUGUCGAGCUUAAAGAAGUUCUUAGGUUAAAAUUUACCCUAACAUCUUACUAAUUAAUAUAGCUAUAAGAGUUAAGAUUUUUAGUCCCAAGGAUACUUUUGGUUGGGGCAACCACGGAGAAAAUAAAUCCUCCGUUUACUAUAUUCAAAAUGUUUAAUAAUAAGAAGUACACUUCUAUAAUAAAUAAAAUUUAAUAUGUGACCCGCUUAUUUAGGCGAUUAAAGGAAUAAGUUACCGCAGGGAUAACAGCGUUAUCUUUUUUGAGAGUUCACAUUGACAAAAAGGUUUGCGACCUCGAUGUUGGAUCGGGACAUCCUAAGAGUGCAGAAGCUUUUAAGGGUUGGUCUGUUCGACCAUUAAAGUCCUACGUGAUCUGAGUUCAGACCGGCGAGAGCCAGGUCAGUUUCUAUCUACGAGAGCUUCUUUCUUAGUACGAAAGGACCAGAAAGAGAAUGUCCAUGCAAAAAAUGUAAACAUUAACAAAUUAGAAC
This 1554-nucleotide ribosomal RNA is filed under the name Arbacia lixula (black urchin). Its description in RNAcentral is "16S ribosomal RNA". It matches the Rfam family "Bacterial large subunit ribosomal RNA". Lineage: Eukaryota; Metazoa; Echinodermata; Echinoidea; Arbacioida; Arbaciidae. The record is from RNAcentral.